RNAcentral lists this ribosomal RNA (484 nucleotides) under uncultured bacterium. RNAcentral describes it as "partial 16S ribosomal RNA". It matches the Rfam family "Bacterial small subunit ribosomal RNA", at positions 28 to 507 of the family's 1533-position model. The record is from RNAcentral.
AUCGAACGCUGGCGGCAGGCCUAACACAUGCAAGUCGAGCGGAAGAAGCGAGCUUGCUCCUGGACUCAGCGGCGGCCGGGUGAGUCAUGCCCUGGAAUUUGCCUGGUCGUGGGGGAUGACGUCCGGAAACGGGCGCUAAUACCGCAUCCGUCCUGUGGGAGCAUGUGGGGGAUCUUCGGACCUCUCGCUAUCAGAUGAGCCUAGGUCGGAUUAGCUAGUUGGUGGGGUAAAUGGCUACCAAGGCGAGUAUGCGUAACUGGUCUGAGAGGCUGAUCAGUCACAUGGGAACUGAGGCAGGGUCCAGACACCGGCGGGAGGCAGCAGUGGGGAAUAGUGGGCAAUGGGGGAGAGCCUGAUCCAGGCAUGCCGGGGGUGGGAAGAAGGUGCUCGGAUGGGAAAGCACUGUAAGGUGUGGGGAAGGGCAGUAAGUUAAUACCUUGCGGUAUUGACGUUACCGGCAGAAUAAGCACCGGCUAACUUCGUG